RNAcentral lists this ribosomal RNA (430 nucleotides) under uncultured bacterium. Its description in RNAcentral is "partial 16S ribosomal RNA". It matches the Rfam family "Bacterial small subunit ribosomal RNA", at positions 354 to 796 of the family's 1533-position model. The record is from RNAcentral.
GUGGGGAAUAUUGCACAAUGGGCGCAAGCCUGAUGCAGCAACGCCGCGUGAGGGAUGACGGCCUUCGGGUUGUAAACCUCUUUUAGUAGGGAAGAAGCGAAAGUGACGGUACCUGCAGAAAAAGCACCGGCUAACUACGUGCCAGCAGCCGCGGUAAUACGUAGGGUGCAAGCGUUGUCCGGAAUUAUUGGGCGUAAAGAGCUCGUAGGCGGCUUGUCGCGUCUGCUGUGAAAACCCGCGGCUCAACCUCGGGCCUGCAGUGGGUACGGGCAGGCUAGAGUGCGGUAGGGGAGAUUGGAAUUCCUGGUGUAGCGGUGGAAUGCACAGAUAUCAGGAGGAACACCGAUGGCGAAGGCAGAUCUCUGGGCCGUAACUGACGCUGAGGAGCGAAAGCAUGGGGAGCGAACAGGAUUAGAAACCCCUGUAGUCC